RNAcentral lists this ribosomal RNA (332 nucleotides) under uncultured bacterium. Its description in RNAcentral is "bacterial SSU rRNA". It matches the Rfam family "Bacterial small subunit ribosomal RNA", at positions 568 to 898 of the family's 1533-position model. The record is from RNAcentral.
UGAGCAGGCGGGGUGACAAGUGGUGUAUGAAAGGGCCGCGCUUAACGUGGCUAAGUUAUGCCAGACUGUUGCUCUAGAGGACGAAACAGGGGCAUGGAAUUCCGGGUGUAGUGGUGAAAUGCGUAGAGAUCCGGAAGAACCCCAGAGGCGAAGGCGGUGCCCUGGUUCGCACCUGACGCUCAGCCACGACAGCAUGGGGAGCGAACGGGAUUAGAAACCCCGGUAGUCCAUGCCGUAAACGAUGCAAACUAGGCGCUAGUGGUCUCAACCCCGCUGGUGCCGUAGCCAACGCGCUAAGUUUGCCGCCUGGGGAGUACGGCCGCAAGGCUAAA